AGCCAUGGCACCUCUGCUACAGGGGCUGGAUGCAUCGCUUCAUAAAGCUGGACGUCACUCCGAUUCCAGUAAGGUCCUCUUGUUUCAACUGCGCUAUUCUACUAAUCAACUCAGGUAGUUGGAGGCAAUCUCCAUGUUUUGGUUCAUCAAGCCAGCGGUUGUUCCAUAAGGGUAAUUCCCUGUUAGUUUGGGUAGUUUCAAAUCAUGGUUGCCAAUGUAGCACCACUUUUC
Molecule: long non-coding RNA, 231 nt
Filed under: Setaria italica (foxtail millet)
Lineage: Eukaryota; Viridiplantae; Streptophyta; Magnoliopsida; Poales; Poaceae
Description: long non-coding RNA (SITA_LNC005085)
Source: RNAcentral